AGCAGCCGCGGUAAUUCCAGCUCCAAUAGCGUAUAUUAAAGUUGUUGCAGUUAAAAAGCUCGUAGUUGAAUUUCGGGAUCAAGGAAUCGGUCAUGCCUUGGUAUGUACUGGUUUUAUUGGUUCUCACCUUCUAAAGAACCAUAAUGUCAUUCAUUUGAUGUUAUGGGGAAUUAGGACUGUUACCUUGAAAAAAUUAGAGUGUUUAAAGCAGGCUUACGCUUGAAUACAUUAGCAUGGAAUAAUGAAAUAGGACAUCCGAUUCUAUUUUGUUGGUUUCUAGGAUCGAUGUAAUGAUUAAUAGGGAUAGUUGGGGGCAUUAGUAUUCAAUUGUCAGAGGUGAAAUUCUUGGAUUUAUUGAAGACUAACUACUGCGAAAGCAUUUACCAAGGAUGUUUUCAUUAAUCAAGAACGAAAGUUAGGGGAUCGAAGACGAUCAGAUACCGUCGUAGU
Molecule: ribosomal RNA, 450 nt
Filed under: uncultured Glomeromycotina
Lineage: Eukaryota; Fungi; Glomeromycota
Description: SSU rRNA
Rfam family: Eukaryotic small subunit ribosomal RNA
Source: RNAcentral